RNAcentral lists this unclassified non-coding RNA (177 nucleotides) under soil metagenome. RNAcentral describes it as "partial contains 5.8S ribosomal RNA, internal transcribed spacer 2, and large subunit ribosomal RNA". The record is from RNAcentral.
AACGGUCUAUACCUGCGGUACCUGCGGAGGGAUCAUUAGCAAAUCAAGGAGGAGAGAUCUCUCUCUCCAUCCACAUUUGACCACAGGCUUGCGUGGCCUGGCGGGAAUAUAUAUUGGGUAUAAUAUCUGUUUGUAGCAUGUGAAUCUUUAAAUGACAACUUUUAACAAUGGAUCUCU